This 610-nucleotide long non-coding RNA is filed under the name Betta splendens (Siamese fighting fish). Its description in RNAcentral is "lncRNA (ENSBSLG00000000284.1)". The record is from RNAcentral. Lineage: Eukaryota; Metazoa; Chordata; Actinopteri; Anabantiformes; Osphronemidae.
AUGAUGUUCAGCGUCGACAGUCGAGAACGAGCGAAGCCCUUCAUCAGGGGGACCGGGGACCUUCAUCACAGCUGGAACAGCCGUGUUCGUCUGUUUACAUGGGACAGUGAAACAUUAGCCUUGGUGUCACUGACCUUUCCCUGAGUCAGGGCGAUGGGCCUCUGCUCUAAUCUCUGCAAGGAAAAUGAAGUCUGCCACCAAGACUCCUAAUGGAAAAAUAUGUUCAGACGUGAUCUUGUGAAAAAGCACUUGACUUCCCUCACAAAGGUAAAGUCUGUUGAUUCCUGUGAAUGAGAGGAGAACUGUUACCCAUCACGCUGGCUUUUAUGAUUCAGUGGCUGCUCCUUAGAGUAGCUGCCCCUUUAAAUACAACAAGCUUUUGGCUCUAAUGGCGUUUUUGUUCAAUGAACUAACAAAAACACAUUAAAAAUGUCUGGGGAAUGUGAAACUCUAUGACAUAGGCUGCACUGAUGUAAAACUUCUAUAACCUGUUCUGAUUUUUGUCAGGCUUAAAAUAAUCUUCUUCUGCUUCUUCUUGUUCUUUUUCUUCUUAUUAUUAUUAAUAUAAUAUAAUAAUAAAAAAAGCUGUAAUCUAUAACUCUACUCUUUA